GACGAACGCUGGCGGCGUGCUUAACACAUGCAAGUCGAGCGGUAAGGCCCUUUUGGGGGUACACGAGCGGCGAACGGGUGAGUAACACGUGGGUGACCUGCCCUCAGCUCUGGGAUAAGCCUGGGAAACUGGGUCUAAUACUGGAUAUGACCUUUCCUCGCAUGGGGUUGGGUGGAAAGUUUUUCGGCUGGGGAUGGGCCCGCGGCCUAUCAGCUUGUUGGUGGGGUGAUGGCCUACCAAGGCGACGACGGGAGCCGGCCUGAGAGGGCGACCGGCCACACUGGGACUGAGACACGGCCCAGACUCCUACGGGAGGCAGCAGUGGGAAUAUUGCGCAAUGGGCGGAAGCCUGACGCAGCGACGCCGCGUGGGGAUGACGG
RNAcentral lists this ribosomal RNA (380 nucleotides) under uncultured bacterium. RNAcentral describes it as "bacterial SSU rRNA". It matches the Rfam family "Bacterial small subunit ribosomal RNA", at positions 28 to 414 of the family's 1533-position model. The record is from RNAcentral.